CGGACGAAGACGACCAGCAGCGAAAGCAUCUGUCAGGGAUGUUUUCUGCGACAAAGGACGAAGGUCAGGGUAUCGAAGACGAUUAGAUACCGUCGUAGUCCUGACUGUAAACUAUGCCAACUUGGGUCUUGCUGGGCGAUGCUUUGUGAGACCCACACAGAAAUGAAAGUGUAUGGGUUCUGGGGGUAGUAUGGACACAAGUCUGAAACUUGAAGGAAUUGACGGAAGAGCACCAUAAGACGUGGAGCUUGCGGCUUAAUUUGACUCAACGCGGGAAAACUUACCAGGUCAAGACAUGGGCGUGAUUGACAGGCUAAUGACUUUUCUCGAUUCCAUGGAUGGUGGUGCAUGGUCGCACUUAGUUGGUGCAGUGAUUUGUCAGGUUUAUUCCGGUAACGAACGAGACCUCGGCCUUGUAAAUAGCUACGCUGCUUACAGGGACAUUGGCGGCUACGCCAAGGAAGCUCGAGGCAAUUGCAGAUCUGGAAUGCCCUUAGAUGUCCUGGGUCGCACGCGUGCUACAAUGACGCCACGAACGAGUUUGCGUGAUGAAAGUCACGCAUAAUCAGCAGUCGGCGUCUUAAGGGAUAGUCUCUUGUAACUGUGGGACUCCAACUAGGAAUGUCUCGUAAGCACAAGUCAACAUCUUGUGUUGAUUACGUCCCUGCUCUUUGUACACACCGCCCGUCGCUCCUACCGAUCGAGUGUUUAGGUGAAUUUGAUGGACGUAAGGAAGUCAAAUAAACCUGAGCAC
This 754-nucleotide ribosomal RNA is filed under the name Mesodinium rubrum. RNAcentral's name for it is "SSU rRNA". It matches the Rfam family "Eukaryotic small subunit ribosomal RNA", at positions 926 to 1772 of the family's 1831-position model. Lineage: Eukaryota; Ciliophora; Litostomatea; Cyclotrichida; Mesodiniidae. The record is from RNAcentral.